Molecule: long non-coding RNA, 1791 nt
Organism: Esox lucius (northern pike)
Lineage: Eukaryota; Metazoa; Chordata; Actinopteri; Esociformes; Esocidae
Source: Ensembl
AAACUUUCCCUUUUCCGUAGCUGAUAACGUUGCUGCUACCUAAUUUCGGUGCCAGAUAACGUCGUAACAACAUUGUGACAACGGGAAAUUGUUAGCUGGCCAAACUAUACAUCACAGCGUACACAACUGAGCAGUGAGAGAGUCCCCUGUUGGUUCUGCACAUGAGGUCUGAGAAGUCAGCACUCAGGUCCAAUUCGCCCCAUCCCCAUGAUGGCCAAGAGCACUCCCCUGAUCCACCACCAUGCAGUGUCCAUGGCAACAGAGAAGUGAGGAGGGAUUCUUCCCGGUCUCAGACCUGCUCUCCCAUCAGACCUGCUCUCCCAUCCUACCUCAGUCACUCUGGUUGAGUUACAAGCCCUAAUCAGACAAAUGGAUGGUCUACUCUGUUUGAAUAUUGAUGUUGGGAGCGGGGGACCUUGAAACCUCCCCUAGGGGCUUCUCCAGAGGGCAGAAAGAGCUGUAGUGCUAUUGCAUACUCUAAUUACUGUAGGGUGGAGGAAAGUGUUAUGCGUGAUGUUUAGGAUAAAUAGCUCUAUGUUUGUUAGCUGGAAAUUCUGGCACUAUAUGUAGCAGAUGGUUUUAAAUCCAAUAUUCAGAUACAUUCAGUACAUUUAAUAUUGUAGAUAGGAUUUGAAUGAGGAGAGUUGAGAAAUCCCGGACAUUUUUUUCCAUGCAGUCAAACACACGUAGCCUGGUAAUUUAUUCAGGCUAUCAAACGGUAGAAUGAUGAAAGGGGUUUAGUGUCAGUAAGAGUGUUUGGGAACCAGGCCAGGAGACCAUGGUUUAAAUCUCCCCUCCUGCGUACGACUGUCCUGGGAUCCUUAACAACCUCUGGAUAGACGUCUUCUCAUCUUUUACUGUAGACGGACCACACUAGAGAGGGGAAGACAGGAUACUUAAAGGGAACAGUGGUAUUCAAGAGGGAGCUCAAAAAUAACAGAACAGUAAUGCAGAAAGAGUAUUUGCGCUGCAGGUACUCUAGUUAAGCGGUUAAACCGUGUGACUGGUUACUGAAAGGUUACUGCAUCCAAUCCCAGAGCCAAGCUGAAAAAUCUGUUGUUCCUCCUUCAGCUAGACAGUUAACUCAGAUUGUUCCUGUAAGUCACUACGGAAGAAGGGCUGAAGUGAACCAAAAAAAAAAAGCAAUGGAUGAAGAGGCACGUCAAAGUGUUGACGCUGAGGAUCUAAGUGAUUGUCUUAGUCAGUAUUGACAGCCAGGCAGACAGAAAGAGGAAUCCGAUUGGUUGGUGGCCUGGUAUUGAAUAGCCGUCAGUGAUAACCAGAUCUUCUAUUUCUUCGUCAGAGUUUCCUUCACUAUGUGAUCUGAUCCCAGGCUCCCAUUAAACCCUGCAGGCACUGGGUCUGUGUGCGUGUUGUAUAUGUAUGCUUGUUUCAAAGUCUUUGUGCAGCUGGGUCAGGUUCAGUGAAGCAGCACAUUAUUGCGGCAGGCUGAUGUUCUGGAAAUUCUUAACAAGCAGACACAGCAUUUUUGUGUUUAUUUGUGUAUGUGUUAUCAUGUCGUUUAUGUGUUAUUAUGUGUCUGUAUAUAGCCUACAGGAUGUUUUAUAUUUGUGUCAGUUUGUCUGCAUGCGUUUGUGAAAGACUCAGACAUGUUUAUAUGUACAAACGCACACCUGGGUACCUACAAAUGCAGCUCUAACCUUUAUGCUUCCAAACACAGUCAUUGCCUGAUGAUCUUUCAUUUCACAGUCAUUUCGAACAAUCUUUCUUUUAGAUGUAUAUGCUAUAAGAAAUCUGAAAUUUAAUUUCCCUUGUUAAUAAUUGGGUCAG